UUGGGUUUAGUGGAGAAUUUGCGAGUCCGUCGCGCUGGAUUCGCUUAUCGGCGACCUUAUGAAGCCUUUUUGAAUCGCUAUAAAAGCCUGUGUCCCGAUACUUGGCCCCAACCGAAAGGAGAUCCUAAAAGCGCCGUUCAGACACUUGUCAACUAUCUUAAGUAUGGCGAAAAUGAUUACCGUAUGGGUCUGACCAAAAUAUUCAUCCGGCUGCCCAAGACCUUGUUUGAGACGGAGGACGCCUUCCAGCGGAGGAAGAACGAGCUGGAAAGCCUGAUUCAGGCCAAAUACAAGGGGAUCCUUCAACGACGCAAAUACUUGGCUAUUCGCCUUCGCAUUAUCCGCGUCCAGUCUGUGAUCCGCCGUUUCCUGGCAAAGCGUCGAGCCAAUAAACGUCGCUGGGCAGUGCAGGUGAUCCGUCACUUCAUUAAUGGCUUCAUGAAGCGCAAUGAGCCUUUGAAUUCGGCCAACGAGAAAUUCCUCGGAUUCGUCCGCUUCCACACUACUUGAUGCGUUUGACCAAGAAACUGCCGGAAUCGAUUAUGGACAAGUCUUGGUCCGACGCACCUGCCAGCUGCCAAGAGGCCAAUGAUGUAUUGCGAUCCAUGUACAUGAAAUGGAUGGUUGGGCGUUAUUGCAAGAACAUCGCACCUGCUCGUAAACGUCAAUUUGAAUUGAAAGUUUUGGCUGAAGCGGUAUUCAAAAAUAACAAAAAGAGCUACCAGGAAAGCAUUUCCAAAUGGUUCGUCGACUGCCGCUUGUCGACUGAGCAGCAAGGUCCUUUCCGUUCCAUUUUCGAAGCCAAUGUCAAAUCACAAGGCGAAACGAUUUUGUACUCGGCUCCGAUCAAGAAAUUCGAUCGUCAUGGCUACAAAGAACGCGAACGCUACUUGGCACUUACCAAAUCGACCGUCUAUUUGCUGGAUGCGAAGGAUUGCAAGAUCAAGCACCGCUUGACAUUCAACGAUAUCACCGGCAUAACCGUGACCAAUAGAGUCAAGACAAUUUAAUUGUGGUGCGAAUUCCCGAGGAUGACAAAAAAGACAAAGGUGACCUGAUCCUCGAGUGUCGUAACUUGAUCGAAGCACUCACCUGGAUUGUGGAUACCUGCAACAAACGUGACAUCAUUCGAUUUGAAUCCGCAACGUCGUUGACGCACCAUAUCGCCAAGGGUAAACCUGGUACCAUUGAAAUUACCCACGGUGGACCAGUCACAGGCAUUACUAAAGGGAAAAAUGGUCAUUUAAUGGUGGCUGCGUCAUAACACACGAUGGUUAUUCAACAUUACUGUUGGGUGGCAAGGGGAGAAAGGGCGCGCGACAGUUAUUCAAAUAGAUGAAGAAGACAUUCCCAUAUUUUUUAAUGGUUCAUUUUUGUUGAUUACUAUUUCUGAGAGAAGACAAGCAAAGGACUCGGAGCUUUGAAACAAGUGCCGUGAUUUGGUCAAGUAUAUUUACAAGUUACAAUCAAUAAUCGUGAUUCGGAAUUCCAGCAGCUAGUCUCGUCAACCUGGUAUACAUAUGAUAAUAGCACAUAAAAUCCUAAACAUAUUUUGGUUAGAUUGAUUGUUUAUAUAAAGGGGGAAAUUAUUGUAUAUGUUAUGUUGAAUUGAUGUGCAUUUCGAAGUCGAUAACAUGGAACCCUUAUCAAUUAA
Daphnia pulicaria is the source of this 1654-nucleotide long non-coding RNA. RefSeq lists it as uncharacterized. The transcript has 9 exons. The record is from RefSeq and is a predicted model, not a curated record. NCBI's taxonomy places the organism in Eukaryota, Metazoa, Arthropoda, Branchiopoda, Diplostraca, Daphniidae.